Molecule: ribosomal RNA, 279 nt
Filed under: uncultured Oscillibacter sp.
Lineage: Bacteria; Bacillati; Bacillota; Clostridia; Eubacteriales; Oscillospiraceae
Description: partial 16S rRNA
Rfam family: Bacterial small subunit ribosomal RNA
Source: RNAcentral
GUCGAACGGAACACCCUUGACAGAGGUUUCGGCCAAUGAAGAGGAAUGUUUAGUGGCGGACUGGUGAGUAACGCGUGAGGAACCUGCCUUUCAGAGGGGGACAACAGUUGGAAACGACUGCUAAUACCGCAUAACGCAUUUGGGUGGCAUCACUCGAAUGUCAAAGAUUUAUCGCUGAAAGAUGGCCUCGCGUCUGAUUAGAUAGUUGGUGGGGUAACGGCCUACCAAGUCGACGAUCAGUAGCCGGACUGAGAGGUUGACCGGCCACAUUGGGACUGA